CUACGGGUGGCUGCAGCUGGGAAUCUUGCGCAAUGGGCGAAAGCCUGACGCAGCGACACCGCGUGUGGGAUUAAGCUUCUAGGAGUGUAAACCACUGUGGCGAGGGAACAAUUUUUGAGUGUACCUCGCUAGAAAGCACCUGCUAACUACGUGCCAGAAGCCUCGGUAAUACGUAGGGUGCAAGCGUUAUCCGGAAUCACUGGGCGUAAAGCGUCCGUCGGCGGUUAUACAAGUCUUUCGUUUAAGACCAAGGCUCAACUUUGGAAAAGCGGGGGAAACUGUAUGACUUGAGUCUAUUCGGGGAAACUGGAAUUCUCGGUGGAGGGGUGAAAUCCGUAGAUAUCGAGAGGAACGCCAAUAGUGAAAACAAGUUUCUAGGGUAGCACUGACGCUCAUGGACGAAAGCUAGGGUAGCAAAAGGGAUUAGAUACCCUAGUAGUC
RNAcentral lists this ribosomal RNA (441 nucleotides) under uncultured bacterium. RNAcentral describes it as "partial 16S ribosomal RNA". It matches the Rfam family "Bacterial small subunit ribosomal RNA", at positions 339 to 795 of the family's 1533-position model. The record is from RNAcentral.